UACGUAGGGUGCGAGCGUUGUCCGGAAUUAUUGGGCGUAAAGAGCUCGUAGGCGGUCUGUCGCGUCGGUCGUGAAAACCUGCAGCUUAACUGUGGGCGUGCGGUCGAUACGGGCAUGACUGGAGUUCGGCAGGGGAGACUGGAAUUCCUGGUGUAGCGGUGAAAUGCGCAGAUAUCAGGAGGAACACCGGUGGCGAAGGCGGGUCUCUGGGCCGAUAUUGACGCUGAGGAGCGAAAGCGUGGGGAGCGAACAGG
Molecule: ribosomal RNA, 254 nt
Filed under: uncultured bacterium
Lineage: Bacteria
Description: partial 16S ribosomal RNA
Rfam family: Bacterial small subunit ribosomal RNA
Source: RNAcentral